Molecule: ribosomal RNA, 119 nt
Filed under: Chinchilla lanigera (long-tailed chinchilla)
Lineage: Eukaryota; Metazoa; Chordata; Mammalia; Rodentia; Chinchillidae
Source: RNAcentral
GUCUACAGCCAUAGCACCCUGAACGCGCCUGAUCUCGUCUGAUCUCGGAAGCUAAGCAGGGUCGGGCCUGGUUAGUACUUGGAUGGGAGAAUUUUCUAAGUGUUUCUUAUUUGUAAAUC